UGGUUAGUUUGUGCAAUUCGUGUCACAUCUAUGGUUGAAAAUUUGAUAUUAUUUGUAUUAUUGGGUGUACUAAGUUUAUACAAAAUUUCAUGAUCAUCUAACGGUGUGGUUUAGAGAUAUCUUGUUUUUAGCACAAGAAGAUUUCAGAAGGUGGCAGUUUGAGGUUGGCUAGGGUUUCUAAGAUAUCUGAAGAUCUAUUUGUCGGAUUAAGGUGAAAAUUGGCAUGGUGUUGAAGGACUUGAAGAUCAAGCUACACACCAAUUUUGAGACAAAGUUAACGGUUG
RNAcentral lists this long non-coding RNA (284 nucleotides) under Physcomitrium patens. Its description in RNAcentral is "long non-coding RNA (PPAT_LNC000955)". The record is from RNAcentral. Lineage: Eukaryota; Viridiplantae; Streptophyta; Bryopsida; Funariales; Funariaceae.